GGGUGCGAUCAUACCAGCACUAAUGCACCGGAUCCCAUCAGAACUCCGAAGUUAAGCGUGCUUGGGCGGGAGUAGUACUAGGAUGGGUGACCCCCUGGGAAGUCCUCGUGUUGCACCCC
Non-coding RNA from Erythranthe guttata (spotted monkey flower), 119 nucleotides. The record is from Rfam. Lineage: Eukaryota; Viridiplantae; Streptophyta; Magnoliopsida; Lamiales; Phrymaceae.